Molecule: ribosomal RNA, 379 nt
Filed under: uncultured organism
Description: partial 16S ribosomal RNA
Rfam family: Bacterial small subunit ribosomal RNA
Source: RNAcentral
GGGGGGGGGGGCAAGCGUUGUUCGGAAUUACUGGGCGUAAAGGGCGCGCAGGCGGGGGGCGGGAAAGUCUCUCGUGAAAUCCCACGGGCUCAACCGUGGAACUGCGGGAGAUACUACUCGUCUUGAGUUCGGGAGAGGAGUGUGGAAUUCCCAGUGUAGCGGUGAAAUGCGUAGAUAUUGGGAGGAACACCGGUGGCGAAGGCGGCACUCUGGACCGGUACUGACGCUGAGGCGCGAAAGCUAGGGGAGCAAACGGGAUUAGAUACCCCGGUAGUCCUAGCUGUAAACGCUGGGCACUUGGUGUAGCGGGUAUCGACCCCUGCUGUGCCGAAGCUAACGCAUUAAGUGCUCCGCCUGGGGAGUACGGUCGCAAAGGCUG